Long non-coding RNA from Fukomys damarensis (Damara mole-rat), 1790 nucleotides. RefSeq lists it as uncharacterized. The transcript is spliced from 3 exons. NCBI's taxonomy places the organism in Eukaryota, Metazoa, Chordata, Mammalia, Rodentia, Bathyergidae. The record is from RefSeq and is a predicted model, not a curated record.
GCCGGUCCCGCUGCCGCAUUAACUCCUGCGUGUCCGGAGCCCCCGCCGCCUGACGCGCGCGGCCCAGAGGAGGGAGUUGGGUGGGGCCGAUGCUGGAGCCUGAGCUCUCCUUGUCGUUGGACCCCGGCUUGGCUGAGACAGCGAGGAGGGGGCCCUGCGCCCGAGCUGAGAGGCGGACUGGGCGACUCUGCUCAUUCUCCUUCUGACCGUCUUGCAGAGGCCAGGAGGACAGGAGGGAAAUGCGGCCGCUGUUAGCGGAUCGCUAGGACUCGUGGGCACCAGCGUGUAUCCGAGACCACAUUUUUGCUUGGCGGUGCUAUCCUCGAAAGUUUACAGUGGACUAGGGAAGGUGCGGGUGGGUUCGGGUUAGAAUUUGUCCACGGACACAAGCCCCUGUCACCCCAGUGAAUGGAGUGGAAUAGCCCCUGGGUUCUCGUGCCUCUCCAGCAUUCUGGAAGAGCCCGUCCUGUGCUGGGUAAAGAUCGGUCUCUCCAGACUGAGGGACGGAGGUGCAGAGUGUGUGAGGAAGCAGCUCAUCUACAGGCAGUUUGAGGCCUCUGGCUGCUCUAGAGCAGGAGCUCCCAGGAUCCACAGAUACCCCCGGAACACACAGAACCAGAAAGGCAGGGGGACCUACACUGCAGAGACAGAGCUGUGUGGAACGGCAGGGAGUCCCCAAAUUUAUCUUGGAUUAUAUCCUGGAGGAGGCAUUGCGGGUAAGAAUUCGUGUAGGAUGAAUCUGCUUCCGCCCAGAAACAAUGUGAUAGUGGAAAUAACGUUCCUCACCCAGGUCUCGGGACCCACCUCUUUAAAGGCAGACACAUCAACACCAUAUUUAAUCAAAGGUGAAUGGUACACCUGUCCUUUGUAUUUCCUGAAUUGAAACUGAGUAUCUAAUAGGGUAAUCAAAUCCCAUUCUGUGUAGCUUAACAUAUUCAAACGGUCCCUCAAGGAAAUGCCAUUUGGGAAAAGGGGAGUAUGGAAAAGACUGGGGAGUUUCUCCUCCCCCCGUAGAGGUAGAGGGAGGCUCUCAGAGGUCUGCAGCUGGGGGCAAGGGUUCUAUGCCCAUGGCACCCUGAACACAAACCAACCAGUGGCCUCCUGAGCAGCAUAGCUGGCCAGCUCCAAAGUGGACAUCUGUCAGGGAAGCGUGCCACAAGGACAUCGGAAGUGGGGGACCUCUGAGUGGGCUUGGAGUAGCUGAACUGGGGCGCCCCUUGGAAUUCUGAUAUAGAAAGGCUCUCUGGAGAGGACAUUCUUCAGGAGGUACCGCAAGUCAGGAAGAAUGCUAGGCCUCCGAAGGCGCUUGUCCCAGUUCCCAGGAAUCCUCCAUCCGGCCUGUGCUCCUCCUCCUGUCGCCCACAGCCUCUCGCGAGUACUUUGUCCCUGAGUGGUCAUCACCAGUUUCCCUGCUACGCCGAUGGUUUUGUGAUGCAAUUUGUUUCAUUAUUACUUUUGUUCCGGUUUCACGUAAACGUAGGCAUGAACACUUAAUCAUGGUGUUCCAGGUACCGUGUAUCUUUCCAGGAGGCAUUGCCAAACCUGGGUUUUGUUUUGUUUUGUUUUGUCCGAAAGCCCUCAAAUAAGAUGCACAUGAGGUAUAUCCAUGUUGAGAAUAAAAUAUUUUCUCAAAUCCAGACUUUAUACUUUGUAUGGCUUCUGUGGACUGCCUGCUUUUCCAACCAGACUUUAUUCAUUCCUGAACAUUUCAUUUCCAAAAUGGUUCACAGGGCAAGGAAACAGGGUCUCUGUGUCUCCUAAUCCUGUCCUCCUUUCUUUGCACUGUUUCU